CCUACGGGUGGCAGCAGUGAGGAAUAUUGGUCAAUGGGCGAAAGCCUGACGCAGCGACGCCGCGUGAGGGAUGAAGGUCUUCGGAUCGUAAACCUCUGUCAGCAGGGAAGAACGGUCACUGUGCUAAUCAGCAGUGAAUUGACGGUACCUGCAAAGGAAGCACCGGCUAACUCCGUGCCAGCAGCCGCGGUAAUACGGAGGGUGCGAGCGUUAAUCGGAAUUACUGGGCGUAAAGCGCUCGUAGGCGGUAUGUCAAGUCAAGGGUGAAAUCCCCGCGCUCAACGUGGGAACUGCCUUUGAAACUGGCAAACUGGAGUGUGUUAGAGGAUAGUGGAAUUCCAGGUGUAGGAGUGAAAUGCGUAGAUAUCUGGAGGAACAUCAGUGGCGAAGGCGACUAUCUGGCACAUAACUGACGCUGAGGAGCGAAAGCGUGGGUAGCAAACAGGAUUAGAUACCCGGGUAGUC
RNAcentral lists this ribosomal RNA (465 nucleotides) under uncultured bacterium. RNAcentral's name for it is "partial 16S ribosomal RNA". It matches the Rfam family "Bacterial small subunit ribosomal RNA", at positions 338 to 795 of the family's 1533-position model. The record is from RNAcentral.